Molecule: ribosomal RNA, 740 nt
Filed under: uncultured bacterium
Lineage: Bacteria
Description: bacterial SSU rRNA
Rfam family: Bacterial small subunit ribosomal RNA
Source: RNAcentral
GUCGACGGGAUCCAGAUCAAAGCUUGCUUUGGUUUGGUGAGAGUGGCGCACGGGUGCGUAACGCGUGAGCAACCUACCCUUGUCAGGGGGAUAGCCCGGCGAAAGUCGGAUUAAUACCGCAUGACAUCAUUGAGAGGCAUCUUUCUAUGAUCAAAGAUUUAUCGGACAAGGAUGGGCUCGCGUGACAUUAGCUAGUUGGUAAGGUAACGGCUUACCAAGGCUACGAUGUCUAGGGGCUCUGAGAGGAGAAUCCCCCACACUGGUACUGAGACACGGACCAGACUCCUACGGGAGGCAGCAGUAAGGAAUAUUGGUCAAUGGACGGAAGUCUGAACCAGCCAUGCCGCGUGCAGGAAGACGGCCCUAUGGGUUGUAAACUGCUUUUAUACGGGAACAAACGUCGGUACGUGUACCGGUCUGAGUGUACCGUAAGAAUAAGGAUCGGCUAACUCCGUGCCAGCAGCCGCGGUAAUACGGAGGAUCCGAGCGUUAUCCGGAAUUAUUGGGUUUAAAGGGUGCGUAGGCGGCCAGAUAAGUCAGGGGUGAAAGUCGGCAGCUCAACUGUCGCAGUGCCUUUGAUACUGUUUGGCUUGAAUUCGGUUGAAGAUGGCGGAAUGAGACAAGUAGCGGUGAAAUGCAUAGAUAUGUCUCAGAACACCGAUUGCGAAGGCAGUUAUCUAAGCCGUUAUUGACGCUGAUGCACGAAAGCGUGGGGAGCAACAGGAUAGAUACCUGGUAGU